This 116-nucleotide ribosomal RNA is filed under the name uncultured bacterium. Its description in RNAcentral is "partial 16S ribosomal RNA". It matches the Rfam family "Bacterial small subunit ribosomal RNA", at positions 1357 to 1482 of the family's 1533-position model. The record is from RNAcentral.
CUACGGUGAAUACGUUCCCGGACCUUGUACACACCGCCCGUCAAGCCAUGGAAGCUGGGUGUACCUAAAGUUGGUAACCGCAAGGAGCCGCCUGGGUAAAACUAGUAACUGGGGCU